This 389-nucleotide ribosomal RNA is filed under the name Pseudoglomeris sp. ZW-2018. RNAcentral's name for it is "Corydidarum sp. ZW-2018 partial 12S ribosomal RNA". Lineage: Eukaryota; Metazoa; Arthropoda; Insecta; Blattodea; Blaberidae. The record is from RNAcentral.
UAUUAUUAUGAAUUUAAAAUUAUUAUACUUAGGUAGUAAGUUAAGAUCUUAAAACUUAAAGAAUUUGGCGGUAUUUUAGUCUAUUUAGAGGAAUUUGUCCCGUUGUCGAUAAUCCGCGCUGAACCUAACUUUAAUUAGAAAUAUGUAUAUCGCCGUUUAGAAAAUCUUUCUAGAGUUAAUUUUCUAGUUUUUUUAAUAAAUCUUAUUUCAGGUCAAGGUGCAAUUUAUGUUAAAGUGGAGAUGAAUUACAAUAUUAAAAUGUAUAUGAAUUAUAAACUGAAAAAUUUUUAUGAAAGUGGAUUUAACAGUAAUAUUAUAAAGAUUAUUAAUAUGAUUAUUUUGGCUCUAAAAUAUGUACAUAUCGCCCGUCACUCUCACCUUAAGGUGAG